CCUACGGGAGGCAGCAGUGAGGAAUAUUGGUCAAUGGGCGCGAGCCUGAACCAGCCAAGUAGCGUGAAGGAUGACUGCCCUACGGGUUGUAAACUUCUUUUAUAAAGGAAUAAAGUGAGGCAAGUGUGCCUUUUUGUAUGUACUUUAUGAAUAAGGAUCGGACAACACCGUGCCAGCAGCCGCGGUAAUACGGAGGAUCCGAGCGUUAUCCGGAUUUAUUGGGUUUAAAGGGAGCGUAGAUGGGUUGUUAAGUCAGUUGUGAAAGUUUGCGGCUCAACCGUAAAAGUGCAAUGGAUACUGGCAGCCGUGAGUACAGUUGAGGUAGGCGGAAUUCGUGGUGUAGCGGUGAAAUGCUUAGAUAUCACGAAGAACUCCGAUUGCGAAGGCAGCUUACUAAACUGCCACUGACAUUGAUGCUCGAAAGUGUGGGUAUCAAACAGGAUUAGAUACCCCAGUAGUG
RNAcentral lists this ribosomal RNA (460 nucleotides) under uncultured bacterium. RNAcentral's name for it is "partial 16S ribosomal RNA". It matches the Rfam family "Bacterial small subunit ribosomal RNA", at positions 338 to 795 of the family's 1533-position model. The record is from RNAcentral.